GUGGGCUAUGGCGAUGUAGCACCUAAAACAUAUCCUGGCAUGUUUGUGGGAGCUUUAUGUGCGUUGGCUGGUGUCUUAACAAUUGCACUUCCGGUUCCUGUAAUUGUUAGCAAC
Molecule: regulatory RNA element, 114 nt
Organism: Lucilia cuprina (Australian sheep blowfly)
Lineage: Eukaryota; Metazoa; Arthropoda; Insecta; Diptera; Calliphoridae
Rfam family: Potassium channel RNA editing signal
About the family: This family represents a group of sequences related to the human potassium channel Kv1.1 hairpin element which directs the efficient modification of an adenosine to inosine by an adenosine deaminase acting on RNA (ADAR).
Source: Rfam